This 72-nucleotide transfer RNA is filed under the name Roseimicrobium gellanilyticum. RNAcentral's name for it is "tRNA-Val". It matches the Rfam family "tRNA". Rfam says of the family: Transfer RNA (tRNA) molecules are approximately 80 nucleotides in length. Their secondary structure includes four short double-helical elements and three loops (D, anti-codon, and T loops). Further hydrogen bonds mediate the characteristic L-shaped molecular structure. tRNAs have two regions of fundamental functional importance: the anti-codon, which is responsible for specific mRNA codon recognition, and the 3' end, to which the tRNAs corresponding amino acid is attached (by aminoacyl-tRNA synthetases). tRNAs cope with the degeneracy of the genetic code in two manners: having more than one tRNA (with a specific anti-codon) for a particular amino acid; and 'wobble' base-pairing, i.e. permitting non-standard base-pairing at the 3rd anti-codon position. Lineage: Bacteria; Pseudomonadati; Verrucomicrobiota; Verrucomicrobiia; Verrucomicrobiales; Verrucomicrobiaceae. The record is from RNAcentral. RNAcentral also lists the same sequence under 1 other name.
GCGCGGGUAGCUCAGCGGUAGAGCGGCUCGUUUACACCGAGUUGGUCGGGGGUUCGAUCCCCUCCCCGCGCA